This 492-nucleotide ribosomal RNA is filed under the name uncultured bacterium. RNAcentral describes it as "partial 16S ribosomal RNA". It matches the Rfam family "Bacterial small subunit ribosomal RNA", at positions 29 to 507 of the family's 1533-position model. The record is from RNAcentral.
AGUGAACGCUGGCGGUAGGCCUAACACAUGCAAGUCGAACGGCAGCACAGUAAGAGCUUGCUCUUACGGGUGGCGAGUGGCGUACGGGUGAGGAAUACAUCGGAAUCUACUUUUUUGUGGGGGAUAACGUAGGGAAACUUACGCUAAUACCGCAUACGACCUACGGGUGAAAGCAGGGGAUCUUCGGACCUUGCGCGAUUGAAUGAGCCGAUGUCGGAUUAGCUAGUUGGCGGGGUAAAGGCCCACCAAGGCGACGAUCCGUAGCUGGUCUGAGAGGAUGAUCAGCCACACUGGAACUGAGACACGGUCCAGACUCCUACGGGAGGCAGCAGUGGGGAAUAUUGGACAAUGGGCGCAAGCCUGAUCCAGCCAUACCGCGUGGGUGAAGAAGGCCUUCGGGUUGUAAAGCCCUUUUGUUGGGAAAGAAAAGCAGCAGGUUAAUACCCCGCUGUUCUGACGGUACCCAAAGAAUAAGCACCGGCUAACUUCGUG